GACGAACGCUGGCGGCGUGCUUAACACAUGCAAGUCGAGCGGUAAGGCCCUUUCGGGGUACGACGAGCGGCGAACGGGUGAGUAACACGUGGGUGACCUGCCCUCAGCUCUGGGAUAAGCCUGGGAAACCGGGUCUAAUACUGGAUAUGACUCCAUGACGCAUGUUGUGGGGUGGAAAGCCUUGUGCGGCUGAGGAUGGGGCCCNCGGCCUAUCAGCUUGUUGGUGGGGUGANGGCCUACCAAGGCGACGACGGGUAGCCGGCCUGAGAGGGCGACCGGCCACACUGGGACUGAGACACGGGCCCAGACUCCUACGGGAGGCAGCAGUGGGGAAUCCUGCGCAAUGGGCAAAGCCUGACGCAGCGACGCCGCGUGAGGGAUGACGGCCU
RNAcentral lists this ribosomal RNA (389 nucleotides) under uncultured bacterium. RNAcentral's name for it is "bacterial SSU rRNA". It matches the Rfam family "Bacterial small subunit ribosomal RNA", at positions 28 to 417 of the family's 1533-position model. The record is from RNAcentral.